GGGGUGGGAAUACCCCAAACUAUAGUUAGACGAGCGUGGGCGUACGUGAGUGUGCGAAGAGAAAGAAAAAAGUCCGCUGCAUAUCUGCAAGAACUUACAUAGAUCCAUGCGUGUUCAUAUCCGUCUGGUCCCCCGCGACAGCGGCUCAUCAACACGUUCCCACGCUCCCUUCGUGGCUCGUCGCCCUCUGGACUUCAUUUCCCACAAGGCGAGUCACCGGUGCCGGCUCCGGGUAUGCAGCGGGCAGGGCCCCCUCCGAGGUCCGGCCCCGAGCCGAGCGCGGGCCGUCGGCGGAAGUGAGAGCCGGAAGUGCCUUCGGCGUGUGCGGAGGCUGGCGGCUGGCGGCGCUGCCCGCCUCUGACAGGGGCCCGCGGCCGAGAAGUGAAGGGUGUAUUGCAUGCGAAGCACCACCUGUGUGUGCAGAUGAGACCUCCUGUGGUGGGGACCCCAGCACAGCCCUUGCCUGUGUCUGCAGUGUGACCUCAGAGACAGAGCAUGAGCGGGCAAGGAGCAGAGAGAGGGAGACACAGAAU
Long non-coding RNA from Leopardus geoffroyi (Geoffroy's cat), 533 nucleotides. RefSeq lists it as uncharacterized. The transcript is spliced from 3 exons. Lineage: Eukaryota; Metazoa; Chordata; Mammalia; Carnivora; Felidae. The record is from RefSeq and is a predicted model, not a curated record.